Molecule: ribosomal RNA, 466 nt
Filed under: uncultured bacterium
Lineage: Bacteria
Description: partial 16S ribosomal RNA
Rfam family: Bacterial small subunit ribosomal RNA
Source: RNAcentral
GACGAACGCUGGCGGCGUGCUUAACACAUGCAAGUCGAACGGAAAGGCCCUGCUUUUGUGGGGUGCUCGAGUGGCGAACGGGUGAGUAACACGUGAGUAACCUGCCCUUGACUUUGGGAUAACUUCAGGAAACUGGGGCUAAUACCGGAUAGGAGCUCCUGCUGCAUGGUGGGGGUUGGAAAGUUUCGGCGGUUGGGGAUGGACUCGCGGCUUAUCAGCUUGUUGGUGGGGUAGUGGCUUACCAAGGCUUUGACGGGUAGCCGGCCUGAGAGGGUGGCCGGACACAUGGGGAGUGAUACGGCCCAGACUCCUACGGGAGGCAGCAGUGGGGAAUAUUGCACAAUGGGCGGAAGCCUGAUGCAGCAACGCCGCGUGCGGGAUGACGGCCUUCGGGUUGUAAACCGCUUUCGCCUGUGACGAAGCGUGAGUGACGGUAAUGGGUAAAGAAGCACCGGCUAACUACGUG